CAGCCUGAUGCAGCGACGCCGCGUGAGGGAUGACGGCCUUCGGGUUGUAAACCUCUUUCAGCAGGGACGAAGCGCAAGUGACGGUACCUGUAGAAGAAGGACCGGCCAACUACGUGCCAGCAGCCGCGGUAAUACGUAGGGUCCGAGCGUUGUCCGGAAUUACUGGGCGUAAAGAGCUCGUAGGUGGUUUGUCGCGUUGUUCGUGAAAACUCACAGCUUAACUGUGGGCGUGCGGGCGAUACGGGCAGACUUGAGUACUGCAGGGGAGACUGGAAUUCCUGGUGUAGCGGUGGAAUGCGCAGAUAUCAGGAGGAACACCGGUGGCGAAGGCGGGUCUCUGGGCAGUAACUGACGCUGAGGAGCGAAAGCGUGGGGAGCGAACAGGAUUAGAUACCCUGGUAGUCCACGCCGUAAACGGUGGGUACUAGGUGUGGGUUUCCUUCCUUGGGAUCCGUGCCGUAGCUAACGCAUUAAGUACCCCGCCUGGGGAGUACGGCCGCAAGGCUAAAACUCAAAGAAAUUGACGGGGGCCCGCACAAGCGGCGGAGCAUGUGGAUUAAUUCGAUGCAACGCGAAGAACCUUACCUGGGUUUGACAUGCACAGGACGUGCCUAGAGAUAGGUAUUCCCUUGUGGCCUG
RNAcentral lists this ribosomal RNA (639 nucleotides) under Mycobacterium sp. So3Pt_229. Its description in RNAcentral is "bacterial SSU rRNA". It matches the Rfam family "Bacterial small subunit ribosomal RNA", at positions 379 to 1030 of the family's 1533-position model. The record is from RNAcentral. Lineage: Bacteria; Bacillati; Actinomycetota; Actinomycetes; Mycobacteriales; Mycobacteriaceae.